AGCAGCCGCGGCAAUUCCAGCUCCAAUAGCGUAUAUUAAAGUUGUUGCAGUUAAAAAGCUCGUAGUUGAAUUUUGGGUCUGGCCGGGCGGUCCGCCCUCUGGGUGAGCACUGUUCCGACGCCGGGCCUAUCCUUCUGGUGAGUCGGCAUGUCCUUUAUUGGGUGUGCCGGGGAACCAGGACCAUUACCUUGAAAAAUUAGAGUGUUCAAAGCAGGCGUAUGCUCGGAUACAUUAGCAUGGAAUAAUGAAAUAGGACGCGUGGUGCUAUUUUGUUGGUUUCUAGAACCGCCGUAAUGAUUAAUAGGGAUAGUUGGGGGCAUUAGUAUUCAAUUGUCAGAGGUGAAAUUCUUGGAUUUAUUGAAGACUAACUUCUGCGAAAGCAUUUGCCAAGGAUGUUUUCAUUAAUCAAGAACGAAAGUUAGGGGAUCGAAGACGAUCAGAUACCGUCGUAGUCUUAACCAUAAACUAUGCCGACUAGGAAUCGGGCGAUGUUAUUCUC
This 499-nucleotide ribosomal RNA is filed under the name uncultured Ambispora. RNAcentral describes it as "SSU rRNA". It matches the Rfam family "Eukaryotic small subunit ribosomal RNA", at positions 569 to 1070 of the family's 1831-position model. Lineage: Eukaryota; Fungi; Glomeromycota; Glomeromycetes; Archaeosporales; Ambisporaceae. The record is from RNAcentral.